UACGUAGGUGGCAAGCGUUGUCCGGAAUUAUUGGGCGUAAAGAGCUCGUAGGCGGUUUGUCGCGUCGACUGUGAAAGCCCGGGGCUCAACUCCGGGUCUGCAGUCGAUACGGGCAGACUAGAGUUCGGUAGGGGAGACUGGAAUUCCUGGUGUAGCGGUGAAAUGCGCAGAUAUCAGGAGGAACACCGGUGGCGAAGGCGGGUCUCUGGGCCGAUACUGACGCUGAGGAGCGAAAGCGUGGGGAGCAAACAGG
This 253-nucleotide ribosomal RNA is filed under the name uncultured bacterium. Its description in RNAcentral is "partial 16S ribosomal RNA". It matches the Rfam family "Bacterial small subunit ribosomal RNA", at positions 524 to 776 of the family's 1533-position model. The record is from RNAcentral.